AUAGGGUGUGACCACCCACACCACCUGGCCAGGAUCUGCUGCAGCCAUUCCUCACGACGACCUCACCCAGGUUCACCACCACCAGGAGGUGAUCCUGGUGCAGGCAUGCCAGGAGGUGGUGGGUAGCGACGACUUGGAUGGGGAACCAGAUACUCAUCCUGGUGCCAGAGCUGGCCAGCGGCGACCACCACCACCACCUCGAGCAGGCCCUGGUCACCAUCGUGGGGGCUGGCAAGGGUGGAUGUGGCACCAUCUUGGGCAACAAGAAGUGGGGGCAGAAGCGAGUGCAGAUCAGGAACCUGGAGGGCAAGUUAUCUGUCUCCAUGUGGUACUCGGAUGAAAACAAAAAGACAUUAACCAUAAAAUAGUGGUUGAGAAACAGAUCACUGGAGAGAACUCACCUCCUGAUUAUUCAGAGUAUAUGACAGGAAAGAAACUUCCUCCUUGGAGGAAUACCUGGCAUUGACAGCUCAGAUCCCAAAAAACUGCAGAAUUCGCCAGAAUGAAGCCAAGAAAAAUUUAAAAGAUGAUGUUCCAUGAACAAUAGCUGGCCCUCGCCAAGGCUGCACAAAGAUGUUCAAGGAUAACUGACAUGAGAAAACAUCUGCACACUCACUGUCACGGAGUCCACUUCUGCACAGAAUGUAGAAGAGCUUUUGUUGAGAGCUCAAAACAAAAACCACACAAACUGGUUCACACUGGAGAGAAGCUGUUUCAGUUCACGUUUGAAGACCGUGGGAAAUGCUUUUCACUGGACUUCAAUUUCCACACACAUGAAUUUUAAAAAGGCUUUAAAAGAUGCUUUAUCUUGCUCUCUAAUCUUGUUUCAAAAACAUGGUUUUUUUGUAAAGUGUGUUCCCAACAGGACAACUCGUAGAUGCAAAAGACAAUUCUUUAUACAACAGUGCUAAAAAUGGGACUUCUGUUUACAUUCUUGCAAGUAUGAAGCUCAUUUGUUGCUUAUAAUUUUUUAAAUUUUUUAUUUUCUAAGUGUGCAUAUUGUACACUUUUUGAAGAUAUGCUUAGUAAUGCUAUGUGUGAUUUUUCUGGAGGUUGAUAAUUUUGCUUGCAAUAGAUUUUCUUUGAAAGAAUGGGCAGUUACAUGCAUGCUUCAAAAAUAUUUUCCUGUAAAAAAAGUUAUAUAGGAUUUGUUUGCUAUAUGAAUUUUGGUUAUAUUCUUUGAUGUUAACACAUUUUGUAUAAUUGUAUCAUAUAGCUGUAUAGAGUCAUGUAGUAUCAAAUAUUAGAUGUGAUUUAAUAGUGUUCAUUUAAAUCCAUUUUAGUCACGUUUUUCCCAAAAAAUACUGCCAGAUGCUGAUGUUCAGUGUAAUUUCUUUGCCUGUUCAGUUUCUGAAAGUGGCACUCAGUUAUAGAAAUGUUGUACCUUUUAAAACCUGUUGUGCACAUUCCAUGUAACAAAAAGGGCAACAAUAAAAUAGCCAUCCUAAAGAAAGAAUAUGGCAGAACAAGCUCUGUAAGCACAGUCUUAUUUUCUUUUGUUGUCCAGAAUACUUAUAAUUCUUGAGUCUCCCAGAAAUUGGAAGCUAAAUAAAGCAUCUUCUUUCCUUUAUUUUGAACUCAGUUACAAUGAUUUGUUAUUAAAGUGAUGCAUAGAUAUUUCAAUACUAAAAAUAAUUAUAUAGUAUGUACCCUUGUAUCAAGUUUUGUUUACUGUACAGAAUGCUUUUGAGAUACAGCUAGACUAUUGUAUUUAUGCAUAGGUUUUUAUUUAUUUAUUUAUUUAUUUAUUUAUUUUACUAGUUUUGUUUUGCCAUUCAUGACUUGAUGGGUAUUUGGGUUGUACCCAAUUUGGGGCUGUUAUGAAUAAAGUUGCUAUAAAUACUUAUGUAU
RNA transcript from Homo sapiens (human), 1851 nucleotides. It is a transcript of the gene named YY1 transcription factor pseudogene 2, with no coding region annotated. The record is from RefSeq and is marked validated. The transcript has a single exon. NCBI's taxonomy places the organism in Eukaryota, Metazoa, Chordata, Mammalia, Primates, Hominidae.